UUAAGCGACUAAGCGUACACGGUGGAUGCCCUGGCAGUCAGAGGCGAUGAAGGACGUGCUAAUCUGCGAUAAGCGUCGGUAAGGUGAUAUGAACCGUUAUAACCGGCGAUUUCCGAAUGGGGAAACCCAGUGUGAUUCGUCACACUAUCAUUAACUGAAUCCAUAGGUUAAUGAGGCGAACCGGGGGAACUGAAACAUCUAAGUACCCCGAGGAAAAGAAAUCAACCGAGAUUCCCCCAGUAGCGGCGAGCGAACGGGGAGGAGCCCAGAGCCUGAAUCAGUGUGUGUGUUAGUGGAAGCGUCUGGAAAGGCGCGCGAUACAGGGUGACAGCCCCGUACACAAAAAUGCACAUACUGUGAGCUCGAUGAGUAGGGCGGGACACGUGGUAUCCUGUCUGAAUAUGGGGGGACCAUCCUCCAAGGCUAAAUACUCCUGACUGACCGAUAGUGAACCAGUACCGUGAGGGAAAGGCGAAAAGAACCCCGGCGAGGGGAGUGAAAAAGAACCUGAAACCGUGUACGUACAAGCAGUGGGAGCCUCUUAAUGGGGUGACUGCGUACCUUUUGUAUAAUGGGUCAGCGACUUAUAUUCUGUAGCAAGGUUAACCGAAUAGGGGAGCCGAAGGGAAACCGAGUCUUAACUGGGCGUUAAGUUGCAGGGUAUAGACCCGAAACCCGGUGAUCUAGCCAUGGGCAGGUUGAAGGUUGGGUAACACUAACUGGAGGACCGAACCGACUAAUGUUGAAAAAUUAGCGGAUGACUUGUGGCUGGGGGUGAAAGGCCAAUCAAACCGGGAGAUAGCUGGUUCUCCCCGAAAGCUAUUUAGGUAGCGCCUCGUGAAUUCAUCUCCGGGGGUAGAGCACUGUUUCGGCAAGGGGGUCAUCCCGACUUACCAACCCGAUGCAAACUGCGAAUACCGGAGAAUGUUAUCACGGGAGACACACGGCGGGUGCUAACGUCCGUCGUGAAGAGGGAAACAACCCAGACCGCCAGCUAAGGUCCCAAAGUCAUGGUUAAGUGGGAAACGAUGUGGGAAGGCCCAGACAGCCAGGAUGUUGGCUUAGAAGCAGCCAUCAUUUAAAGAAAGCGUAAUAGCUCACUGGUCGAGUCGGCCUGCGCGGAAGAUGUAACGGGGCUAAACCAUGCACCGAAGCUGCGGCAGCGACGCUUAUGCGUUGUUGGGUAGGGGAGCGUUCUGUAAGCCUGUGAAGGUGGCCUGUGAGGGUUGCUGGAGGUAUCAGAAGUGCGAAUGCUGACAUAAGUAACGAUAAAGCGGGUGAAAAGCCCGCUCGCCGGAAGACCAAGGGUUCCUGUCCAACGUUAAUCGGGGCAGGGUGAGUCGACCCCUAAGGCGAGGCCGAAAGGCGUAGUCGAUGGGAAACAGGUUAAUAUUCCUGUACUUGGUGUUACUGCGAAGGGGGGACGGAGAAGGCUAUGUUGGCCGGGCGACGGUUGUCCCGGUUUAAGCGUGUAGGCUGGUUUUCCAGGCAAAUCCGGAAAAUCAAGGCUGAGGCGUGAUGACGAGGCACUACGGUGCUGAAGCGACAAAUGCCCUGCUUCCAGGAAAAGCCUCUAAGCAUCAGGUAACAUUAAAUCGUACCCCAAACCGACACAGGUGGUCAGGUAGAGAAUACCAAGGCGCUUGAGAGAACUCGGGUGAAGGAACUAGGCAAAAUGGUGCCGUAACUUCGGGAGAAGGCACGCUGAUAUGUAGGUGAAGCGACUUGCUCGUGGAGCUGAAAUCAGUCGAAGAUACCAGCUGGCUGCAACUGUUUAUUAAAAACACAGCACUGUGCAAACACGAAAGUGGACGUAUACGGUGUGACGCCUGCCCGGUGCCGGAAGGUUAAUUGAUGGGGUUAGCGGUAACGCGAAGCUCUUGAUCGAAGCCCCGGUAAACGGCGGCCGUAACUAUAACGGUCCUAAGGUAGCGAAAUUCCUUGUCGGGUAAGUUCCGACCUGCACGAAUGGCGUAAUGAUGGCCAGGCUGUCUCCACCCGAGACUCAGUGAAAUUGAACUCGCUGUGAAGAUGCAGUGUACCCGCGGCAAGACGGAAAGACCCCGUGAACCUUUACUAUAGCUUGACACUGAACAUUGAGCCUUGAUGUGUAGGAUAGGUGGGAGGCUUUGAAGUGUGGACGCCAGUCUGCAUGGAGCCGACCUUGAAAUACCACCCUUUAAUGUUUGAUGUUCUAACGUGGGCCCCUUACCGGGGUUGCGGACAGUGUCUGGUGGGUAGUUUGACUGGGGCGGUCUCCUCCUAAAGAGUAACGGAGGAGCACGAAGGUUGGCUAAUCCUGGUCGGACAUCAGGAGGUUAGUGCAAUGGCAUAAGCCAGCUUGACUGCGAGCGUGACGGCGCGAGCAGGUGCGAAAGCAGGUCAUAGUGAUCCGGUGGUUCUGAAUGGAAGGGCCAUCGCUCAACGGAUAAAAGGUACUCCGGGGAUAACAGGCUGAUACCGCCCAAGAGUUCAUAUCGACGGCGGUGUUUGGCACCUCGAUGUCGGCUCAUCACAUCCUGGGGCUGAAGUAGGUCCCAAGGGUAUGGCUGUUCGCCAUUUAAAGUGGUACGCGAGCUGGGUUUAGAACGUCGUGAGACAGUUCGGUCCCUAUCUGCCGUGGGCGCUGGAGAACUGAGGGGGGCUGCUCCUAGUACGAGAGGACCGGAGUGGACGCAUCACUGGUGUUCGGGUUGUCAUGCCAAUGGCACUGCCCGGUAGCUAAAUGCGGAAGAGAUAAGUGCUGAAAGCAUCUAAGCACGAAACUUGCCCCGAGAUGAGUUCUCCCUGACUCCUUGAGAGUCCUGAAGGAACGUUGAAGACGACGACGUUGAUAGGCCGGGUGUGUAAGCGCAGCGAUGCGUUGAGCUAACCGGUACUAAUGAACCGUGAGGCUUAACCUU
RNAcentral lists this ribosomal RNA (2903 nucleotides) under Escherichia coli KTE17. RNAcentral describes it as "bacterial LSU rRNA". It matches the Rfam family "Bacterial large subunit ribosomal RNA". RNAcentral also lists the same sequence under 2 other names. The record is from RNAcentral. Lineage: Bacteria; Pseudomonadati; Pseudomonadota; Gammaproteobacteria; Enterobacterales; Enterobacteriaceae.